This 6123-nucleotide long non-coding RNA is filed under the name Homo sapiens (human). Its description in RNAcentral is "HSALNT0309590". Lineage: Eukaryota; Metazoa; Chordata; Mammalia; Primates; Hominidae. The record is from RNAcentral.
GUGGUCCUGCCUUUCUGGACCUAACCAAUGUUUAUUUUACAUGUAUUGAUUGGUGUCUCAUGUCUCCCUAAAACGUACCAAGCUGUGCUCAGGCCACCUCGGGCACAUGUUGUUAGAUCUCCUGAGGCUGUGUUAAUGAGCGCACAUCCUCAACCUUGGCAAAGUAAACUUUCAAGAUUAACUGAGACCCGUCUCAAAUUUUCGGGGUUCACAGAGCUCUGGAGCCAAAUAUUUCUGUUUUGAUUUUUACAGUAAAAAAAAUCGAAAGGUGCUAACAAUAUGGCAUGACUAGUCAUUUUUCAUUGUGUUUUGAAAACAAAACCACCCAUGGGCCUUCGGCUGUCCAGACAGACGCACCCUGUAUACGCGUGGAGCAGUGAGGGGCCUCUGGUCUUCAUAGCAUUUGUUCUCUACUGGUCAGGUCCCAGGGGAGCAUUACAGCCUCUGCUGGCAGCCACUGAAAACCAGAAAGCAAGCAGAAAAGGAUAUCGAGGUGAUGAGAGGCCGUGGGACUAACAGCUGAAGGUGUUUCAGGCAUCAGAGAGGCAGCCACACAGGAGGGGGAUCAGCAGGGCUCAGUGUGACCCAGAGAGAUGAGAACUGAGCCCUGAGAGCCCCUGGAAGGAGGCCUGCACUGCCAAGAGUCUGCUGCAUGAACCCAGGAAGGGAGGAACCCACACACCAGGGCACACAGGCAGCUGCCAGGUCAGGGAGGCGGCUUGUGGCUUCCUCUCAGGAACUCUUCUGUCCUCAUCAGGGUAAUAAAGAAAGGUCCCCUCACAAGGCGUGAGUCCCCAGCAACAGGCAAAGAAGAACCCUCUGGGCACCAGGAUUCUGCAACCAGCCCACUCAACCUCGGCCCACCCAGCAAAGCCCUCAGAACCUGCACACCCCUGACUCUCACAACCCCUGGGGCCUCUGGGGGUCCUGCCACAGGGAACCAACCAGCCACACCUGGAGCACAGGGUCUCCAAGAACAAGGGCUUCACAAUGGCCAUGGUGACUUGUAUGCCACAGUCAUCCCAGAUUGGACAGGGCAUGACCGUAAGCAGUACAGCAUGAUCCAAAAUAGGCCCUGGUGUUCCUAAUGCCAGAUAGUCUCUCCUGUUGGUCACAAUUCCUAAUCUCUGAAAGUGCCUCUAAGAUUGACGAGUGAUACCAACAAGUUAUUCAUCUGACGCAGCUCUAAAAACUCAAGCAGCCAUGGAUGGUAAACAGUAGCUUCCCUCAUACAAGAAAGGGGCUGCACCUUGCUUUUUUGCAGCAGCUUCCCAUCUAUAGUUCAGAAAAGAGGUCUUUGAAAAAACAAUGGCUCUGCAUGUGUCUGGCUGUCCACCUGUCGGCUGUGUUGGGGCAAGGGAGUAGACAAGGUGGUUCACCAGCUGGAGGAAAGGUGACAGGACAGAGGCCUAGGUUUGCAGUCACUCCUCUCCCGCUCUAGCAUGGCACCAGGAACAAAGCCUCCAUGCUCCAGUCUCCUCUUCCAAAUUACACAUCCAGAGUGUCUUCAAUGAACUUGGCUUCCAGAGUGUUCAUGAACCAGAUCAGGAGAGAAUAGACAUCUAUGAACAAAUCCAAAAGAGAACAGACUCUCAGAAGGUUGGGAUUCUAGUUUGGCAGCUGAAAUAGCCGGAAGAGUGAGAUAUCCAAAUAUCUUGGAGCUGUCAACGAGCUGCAUUGGCACCAGAGGAGCAAAAGCCAGCGCCGCGCAGGCUCACCGGCACCAUAAGCGACUGCGCCCGCUCCUGAGGCGGCAGCACUUACUGUACAGGAAAGCAAGUCACAAAUACGCAUCCUCAAGGCCAAAACUCUGCUUUGCAUAUUUUCACAGAAUAACUGGUUUUGCUUUUUUUUUUUUUUUUUUUUUUUUUUUUUUUUUUUUUUUUUUUUUUUUUUUGGUAAAGAGCUAAUGGGGGCAGAAAGGCAGAAACUGGAUAAAUAUUCUUCUCUCGCCUCCACCAACAGAAGUGAUAUCUGAGUGAUUCUGAUCCUGUGUAGGAGUCAGAGAGGGCAGGAGCCGCAUCAGAAAGGCUGGCGGCAUUGUUCACCGAGUCAAUCUCAAGUGCCUGACGGUCAGCAGACCGGCUCAAAGAAACCCUCGCAAUGACAGGCACAGAGAGCAAAGGGCACACAAGAUUCCCUCUGACAAUCGUCUCAAGCAAAUGAACAUCCACUCAAAUGAUGCACCCAAAGGCCGUACAGAGAAUAAAGGAGCAUUCCUGUGUGUUGACCACAACACCCGGCACACAACGUCACGUGAAAUCUUGGACCUAACGAUCACACCAGAAACAGAUUCAAAACAUUUUCACCAUUCCAAACAAAGGACAGUAUAGGAAAGAAACCGUCAUUUUCCCUUCCACUCCCACAGACCAAAAUGCACCUCAUAAAAAUUAUCUUCAUUUCUUAGAUAAGGAGUCGCCGAAACAAUCCCUUCACAAGCCUCUCACUGGUACACCCUGGUACUGAAUGAGAGAGGAGAGGACUCUCAUCUUCUGACCCAGGGAAGCGUGCUGUCUGGUAAGCUUUGAGUCUUUAGAGCUGUUAGUGAUGUCACCAUUAAAAAUCAACUAGGAAAAUGAACACAAUAAAAGAUGGUAAGAAAACAAAGGGCCAAUAGCCAUCUCUGAAUUAAAACUAGCUAAAUGUAAUUAAAGGAGCAGCUACGUUCAUGUCUUCACAGGAGAAGAGAGAACUAGCAAACGUGAAUGCAAGUAUCAACGAUGGGAAACACAGUUCUAGGGCUAUCACCAACAAGGAACAAUCAACACCACAGCGGAUUCUAAUUUGGGCUGAAUAAAACCUAAACCAAAACAAUCAAGGGCAGAUGGUACUUCUUUCAAAAUAAUGAAAAGACAAUAAUCUCCUCCCUUUUUGCUAAUCCGUUGACCUUAAUACCAAUUCUGUUCUUAAUCACCUGGCGACAUGAGUGCAGCUGUAUGCACUUUAUCUCAUCAUGAGACUACCCUCAAUAACUAUAACUUUUUUUCAUUAUUUCACUCAUUGUGACAUCAUUUUAAGUUAAUAUAAUUGUUUCAAAUCAUUACAGGAAAACAAAUUGACAAUAGCCUAAAGGAGAAUUCCUAUCAGAAACAAAAACCAUAUACCGAAAAUAUUUUUCAAAAACAAAAACACCAAAGCUCAUUGUAGAAAGAGUAACAUCCUGUUUUAUGUUUAGUGUUGGCAUUAGUCAUAAGGAUCUGGGGAACAGGAAUAAAUUCUUAACAAUUAACUAUAGAAAUCCCAAACACCUUGCUGGUGGAGUCACUCUUCUCUACCUGGUAAACUCCUACAGAUCCUACAAGAUCCAGCUCAUUUGCCCCUCUGUGAGGCCUUCAUUAACUCCUUCCCAUUAACUCAAGAACAUUCAAUUCACUCCCUCUUCUAGUUCUCUCAUUAGUUCCACCCAUAAACAUUUACUAAAAUCUAUGUGUCAAGCACAGUGUCUACAACUCUGCAGUACACAGAGGAAUGAUACGUGCUUCAUGCCCAGGAAGGACUCACUAGUUAGAAGUGGCAGGCAUGUAUGCAAGGUUAUUGUUACACAGUGGACUAGUGCUCUAAUGGAGAUAUGCUAUGCAGAGAAAUAGUCAUAUCAUCCCUCAAGUACCCCAUGAGGCUGUGAUUCAUUCAAUCUUUUCCAUCUCCUCCAGUAUGCUACUGACCUCUGAAGACAGGAACUGUGCUCUAGUUAGCUCCAGCUUCCACUGCCUAGUGAAUGCAGAACACACCAUAAACAUGCAAUAUAUGUUUGUUAAUGCAUUAAAAAGACAAAAACUACUAGUGCUUUAUAAUUGGGUCUUACAGCUCCAAACAAAAGGUAUUUGUUAACUGUAUAACCCAAUAAUUUGCUACAAUGUGCCUGUCAACACUGGAGGACCUCUGGAGCAGAUGUACUUUUGAACAUUCCCCCUGGUGGCAGGAUAUUCCAGCCCAAGUCUCUUUGAUGACUUAUCAAAGAGAAAGAUGUUAACAGGUGACCUAUGCUGAAACUUGGGCUCCAACCUAAGGAAAUAAACAGCAGGACACAGCCCACAGCGGUGACUUAGAAGGUUCCCUGGCUGACGUUCAGCACAGCUCUUCCUUGUACCCCAAGUACAACUGCUCUGUCUCCAGGAGAAUCAUUUUAGCCCUAAACAAAAAUAAUGAGGAGUUUCCUAAAUUGCUAUCUGGAGUAAUUUACAAAAAGCAAGCAAACUCUAGGAAUGUUCAAUUGUAACAACAAAACACUGUAGAUAAUCAAUUCUAAUAACAAAAGACUAAUCAGUUCAAAAUGUUUCAAAUGAGAAACACUGAAUUACAUAGUUUCCUUACUAGUGUCCUUUUCAGGCCAGGCGCGGUCGCUCAGGCUUGUAAUCCCAGCACCUUGGGAGGCUGAGGCGGGUGUAUCACGAGGUCAGGAGAUUGAGACCACAGUGAAACCCCGUCUCUACUAAAAAUACAAAUAAAUUAGCCGGGCGUGGUGGCGGGCACCUGUAGUCCCAGCUAUUCGGAGAGGCUGAGGCAGGAGCAUGGCAUGAACCCGGGAGGCAGAGGUUGCAGUGAGCUGAGAUCGCGCCACUGCACUCCAGCCUGGGCGACAGAGCGAGACUCUGUCUCAAAAAAAAAAAAAAAAACCAACCAACCAACCAACCAACCAACAAAAAGUGUCCUUUUCAGUAACAAAUCAAAUUUAAAAAUCAAACUUUAUCAAAUUGUUUCAGUAAUUUUAUUUCAUUUAAUUGCUGUGUCCUCACGUUCUCCACUGAAGGCUGUUUGUUUUAAAUGGUUUAAAAAAUAAAAAUAUAAAUGGUUUAAAAAAUAAAAAUAAUAAAAUAAUAAAAUAAAAAAACCACAGGUGUGGUGGCUCAUGCCUGUAAUCCCAGACCGAGGGGGGUGGAUCAAGAGGUCAAGAGAUGGAGACCAUCCUGGCCAACAUGGUGAAACCCUCUCUCUACUAAAAACACAAAAAUUAGCUGGGUGCGGUGGCAUGCGCCUCUAGUCCCAGCUACUGGGGAGGCUGAGGGAGGAGAAUUGCUUGAACCUGGGAGGGGGAGGUUGCAGUGAGCUGAGAUCGCUCACUGCACUCCAGCCUGGCAACAGAGUGAGACUCCAUCAAAAAAAAAAAAAAAAAGUCUAUCACCCUACAGUAAUUGACUGAUACAAAUCAAGGGAAUCAGAAAUUAAAGAACAAAGCCACUCAUAAAAUGUGCUGUCAAAAAUCAGUUGUAAAUUACUAAUUUUAAAAGCUAACCUCAGUAAGAGGUAUCAAUGAAUCACUUUAUUACUGUAAUCAAUCCUCCCAGACAGCAAGAGAACACUCUAAAGACACCGAAUGUUCUGGAUGGGCAUAGCCAGUGUGGGCUUCACUCACAGCACAGCUGGUUCCAGGGCCGGCCCAGACGGCAUCCACUGGGAUGCAGAGAGCAUGCGCUGCAAGGGGACCCCCUACAAUGUCAUUUAUCAUUUAUUAUUUGAUCUUUCCUUGUAUUAAAUUAUACUUGAGUCAACGGACUCUGCCCUAACACAUGUGUAUCAGUUAACACGAAACUGCCCUUGAUCUGACACAGGGUCUUUCUGGAAUGUCUGCUGGCUUGCUGCUAUCAGUUGCAAGCCUUACACAGAGGGAGCAGCCCUGAACUCACCGAGGCAACUGUUCUGCAUUAGAGGGAAGAACUAGGAAGAGCCUAAAUAGACAAGUUCCAACAAGGACCAGACAGUACAAGAGAAUCAUCCUACAAAAGGUAGGUGCUCCAAUCCUUUCAUCCUUAAUGCCUUCAGUUCAGAAUACAGGCAAACCAAAGGUACACGUAUGUAGGAGCCUGUGUGUGCUUUAAAAUAAGACUCCAGCCAUCUUGCUUCCCUGUGCUAAUGGAAAUACCUUGCCUAAGCAAUUAACUCUAAGCCAAAUAGACUAAUGCAAUAAUUACUUAGUCUUUAGAUUUCUGUAGCCAAUUCAAAAAUUUACUAGCUCUUUUAAAGAAUAUGAAAAGAUUCUAACGGAAGAAAAACCUGUACCAGCUGAGGUCACUUCUAAUUUCCUUUAUAUUUUCAAGGACUCCAAAUUUUAAAACAUUAUGGCCAAAAUGUACAGAAAGCCAGUGGUGCUUCUCAUGAUGCUUAUCACGUUGCAGGUCUACGAUAGUU